Molecule: transfer RNA, 95 nt
Filed under: Cercophora newfieldiana
Lineage: Eukaryota; Fungi; Ascomycota; Sordariomycetes; Sordariales; Lasiosphaeriaceae
Description: tRNA-Ser
Rfam family: tRNA
About the family: Transfer RNA (tRNA) molecules are approximately 80 nucleotides in length.
Source: RNAcentral
GUCACCGUGCCCGAGUGGUUUAAGGGGAAAGACUUGAAUCAAUUGUCAGGUAUCUGUUGGCUUCGGCCGCGCAAGUUCGAGUCUUGUCGGUGACG